GAUGAACGCUAGCUACAGGCUUAACACAUGCAAGUCGAGGGGAAACGAUAUUGGAAGCUUGCUUCCGAUAGGCGUCGACCGGCGCACGGGUGAGUAACGCGUAUCCAACCUGCCCUUGUCCAUCGGAUAACCCGUCGAAAGGCGGCCUAACACGGUAUGCAGUUCUCAGCAGGCAUUUAACGAGAACGAAAUGUAAAGGAGCAGGAUGGGGAUGCGUCUGAUUAGCUUGUUGGCGGGGUAACGGCCCACCAAGGCGACGAUCAAUAGGGGUUCUGAGAGGAAGGUCCCCCACAUUGGAACUGAGACACGGUCCAAACUCCUACGGGAGGCAGCAGUGAGGAAUAUUGGUCAAUGGGCGAGAGCCUGAACCAGCCAAGUAGCGUGCAGGAUGACGGCCCUAUGGGUUGUAAACUGCUUUUAUGCGGGGAUAAAGUGAGCCACGUGUGGCUUAUUGCAGGUACCGCAUGAAUAAGGACCGGCUAAUUCCGUGCCAGCCGCCGCAGUAA
Molecule: ribosomal RNA, 506 nt
Filed under: uncultured bacterium
Lineage: Bacteria
Description: partial 16S ribosomal RNA
Rfam family: Bacterial small subunit ribosomal RNA
Source: RNAcentral